UAACUCAGAAAUAUUGUUGAAUUGAAUAAGGGUGUCUAGACAUAUUUCCAUUCAAAUCUAUCCUGAUUCAGGAUGAGAUAUAUUACACUGAUGAAUGCUUGGACAACCACAGAACAGCAGAAUCAUGACAGAGUGAUUCCAAUCAUUCCUCUCAACUAGUUUCUGUCAGUGAACACACAUCACUUCUCUCAGGCACUGAGAAUACCAGUAAGUGCUGUCCUGUGAGACAACUCUGGAUCCGUGAUUUCCCUCAGAGUUGAAGAAUCUACGUGGAGAUUAUAUUGAAAGGUUAAUUUUUAGUCAAUCCUAGCAUUAACAACAUAUGCUUGGCAAAAGGGCUAUAAAAAAAAAAGUAAAAACAAGAAAAAAGGAAUUAUGUGUAAGGAUGGGAAGAGUAAUAUGAUGGCAACAUGCAACACUCAAACAAAGAAAAGCUUUACCAAAGUGGGACAUCAGCCACUCAGUGUAAGACAACCUCUAGGAAUGGGUAACGAUUGGGUUUCCACAAGGUGGACUUCUCUGAUGAGGAUUCCUAACCUGGUAUCUUAGAACUUGAAGACACUGUGCUCAAAUCAGAACUCUAGCAGUUAUCCACCAGGAGAAAAAGUUGCAGCCUGGGGAUGGUGGAGUGAUAAAACAGUCAUCCCUGAGGACCGUAAAGCCAAAGCCACCUGCGAGAACUGACAAAAUUGGCCAUGCCUAGUCUUUAAGGUUCAGAUGUCCUACAACAAGUGAAAAGAUAACAGAUUUUGUAAUAUUCAUACAAAGGAAUACUGGUUAACAAUAAAAGAGAACGAGCUAUCGACGUGUGCAGUAACACAGGUGAAUCAAAUUGAUGCAACCAAGACACUAUGGAAAUAUCAAACCCUAGAGAACAGAGUGAGAGGGUAAGAAUGAGGAAGAAAAGAUUCCUAGAGGAAUUAUCAGGAAGCUGAGAUGUGCAUGGCUGCUUCUUAGAUGAGUCAUCACCAAACUGUGUUGUCCUGUGGUAAGGAAGAAGCCUAUGUCAGGAAAUCUGGGACAUUCAAUGACACUCUUGCAUGUCUAUGGCUGCUUUAUGAUCAGUUUCAUCAAUUAUGAAGGAAAUGUCAGCUGGGACCCAGAGGAGGAGCCAUCUCAAGGUCAUUGAACAAGUGUGGUUCCGCCUUGUCCUUAAUUGUUUUUCUACAUCAAACCAUCUUUUCAAAAAGUGACUUGAUUCUAAAGUUGAAAAUAAAAAUGUUAAAUAAAACCUUCUCCUAAUUUAGCAGAAAAAUGUUGUACCCAGAAAGUUCCUUUUGUAUUUAUUCCACUAUUUUAUCAGACAUGUUGAAAGACCAGAUAGCUGGGUUUUUUAGCGGGGGAGAAUUAGAGAAACGGCAUAUUUGUCACCUUCCUAGUUACAUACAGUUUGCAGAUUGGUUGCCAACAUUUUAAAUCUUCCCCAAAUUACUUAAUAGUAAAGAAGGAAUUUUAUCGAAUAUUAGGACAUGGCAGCAUCUGUAGACACAGUGUUGUUGUUGUUUUUUUUUUUUUUUUCUGUUCAGGACAUAGUGAUUCAGUUUGUUUCCCAUAUAUACAUGAAAUAACGGAUCACAUAGGUGGGAACUUAACCCAGAAGUGCUAUAAGAAAAUACACUGUCAACUAAUAGAAAAUAUGUCUGCAAUCCUUGAAGGAUGUGAUGACAGACUGGAAGCAUUUCUGUGGACAUAGCAGUAUCUAUUUAUUCUAUUUUAAUAAUAGAACAGGGUCUUUUGGCUUAGAGUACACUUUAAGAGGUAAGGAGAGAAUAUAUUUUGGAAAGAGAAUGGAUGUGAAUGUUUUCAGAGAACAUGAAGAAAGAGAAAAUGACUCGCAAUGUGACAAAGCAGGUAUGGGAGAAUUUUAGACAGUAUCAACCAAAGGUUAGCGUCUCUCAAAGUCUUUCUACCGGGACACAGAUCCAAAUACAUGUUUUAUGUUGUAAUUUUGAGUUUGAUGAAGGUCAGAGCUAUGUUGUAGCCAUGGUCUACAAUGCUAAAAUGACAUCUCUAUUAUUUUCAUCCUCAUGUUACCUUUGAAAAAUAUUCUUGCAAAUACCUAAAAGUCAUACAUGUCAUCUACAUUUUUUUCAUUUUUAAAUACUUAUUUCUCCCUAACAUUUUAGGCAUUCUGGUCUCCUGCUCCUUAUGCCAUUCUGAGACUCCCCACACCAGAACCAAUUUUUGGUUUUACUUUAUUUCCUCUGAUGGGAAUAUUUUUAUGCAUUUUUUAUGUUGGAAAUUGUAAUUCAUUUUCACUUCCAUUAACGAUUUUCAGAGAAUUAAUUUAGGGUCUGUUCCUAGGUGGGACUUUCAACUGGUCUUUGCAGUUAAUUUGAGUUAUUUUUUUUUCUUGCAAAAUUGGGAUUUCCCUUUUAAAAGAUAAAAUGUAGUAACAGAACUGGGGGGAAAGCGAGUUUCACUGAAGAUGUGUUCCUGUUUGUGCAUACACUUCAGGACAGUAUUUCAAAUAUUGCAUUUCUAAGCAUAUUUCAUAUUUUUAAGGAAUUGUUCUUUCUAAUAAAUAAAAGAUUAAUUCAUUUAAUUUUACUGUUGUAUGUACAUGUUUCGGAACCAGUUUUUUUGUCAUUCUAAAUCUUUCUGCUUUCCAACAAAUUACAUGCCAUGGAGUAUAAUUUCUGUUUCUGCCGUAUACCACAUCAUCCCACACUGACAUAUCACUGCAAUGAAAGGUAAACCUUACAAAAGCAUGCUAAUUUAAAGAUGCAAUGAAUGUUUUAUAGACUCUUAAGUGUUUUCUGUUCUGGUUUUCAUAUAAAAAUUAUAUAAAUGAAGGAAAUAAUUUUUGAAUACUUGGCUUACAAUUUUUAUCUUUAUGUGUAUAAAUGUUCCUUUUUUAUUUUUUCUUUCAGUGGUUAGAGAAUAACUUCUCCAAAUGCACAACCUUAUUAUUCUUAUUUACUUAUUAUUUACUAUUUACUAUUAUUAUUAUUUAUUAUUAUUAUAGUAAAAAAGAUAUGCUUAAAAUACAACAUGAUUAUUACAUAGUUUGAUCUCCAUGAUAAAUAUGCAGCAGGUAAUUAAGUAUAAUAAAAAUAAUUUUGGAGAAUUUUAAAAGGCAAUUUCCAUACAAAUUUGAUGGUCCAUUUAAUUUAAGGAGCUGUGGGUUAUGAGAAGUUCCAUCAUGUAUGACACAGGGCCAUAGAAUAUUGACCAGUUUGAACAAUAAUAAUGGUAAAAGGUGAAAGAAUUUGAUUCCGAAGAAAGAGUGGCCAUAAUAAUAGUAUCAGGAUGAGUAAAUUCAAACCAAGUUAUUUUCUUAAAUCUUACCUACAAUUCAUUUUUUUAAAAGUUUAUUUAUUUAAGUAAUCUCUGUGCUCACCAUGGUGCUUGAACUCAUGACCCUGAGGUCAAAAGCUGCACGUUCUACCAACUGAGGCACUCACGAGCCCCUACAAUUCAUUUUUAAAUUCAUUUAUUUAACAAUCAUUAUUGAACCCCUGCUAGGUUUUAAACACUGUGCUAAGAGACAAAGUGCUAACUAGAACAAACACAUUAUCUGCCCUCAUAGAACUUAUAACCUGGACUACUAUAAUUUCUGAGCCAUGAUAUUUCUGGACUUCCUAAAUACCUAUAAAUUCACUGUGCUAGAGUGCAUCAGGGAAAUAAAAAUGUUCCUGGGACAAUUUAAUUAAAGCUGGGAAAGUAGAGAGCCAAGAUUUAUGAGCAGAAACACAAUGUGCCAAUGCAUAUUCUGGAAGACUCCGUAAGUCUAAAAUCAGCCAUCUCUGGGACAAGCAAACGCAGAGUAAUUUCCACAGGACCUAUGUGUUAGGAGCUUCUGAUAUUAUCUUAAAACAACAGUCAUAAUUUGAAGAGGCAGCUGAAAGAAAAGAGAGUAGUUGAAUAAUCUGACAUAAAAAAAAAAGGAAAGAACAACAAGAAUAAAGCUCUAAAACUUGUAGACAACCAGUUCAUAACUAUCCAUUUCACUCCUUUAUGCAUGUGCAUCAGAAAGAGUAUAACACUACUAGGUAUUUACCCAAGGGAUACAGGCGUGCUGUUUCGAAGGGGUACAUGCACCCCAAUGUUUAUAGCAAUGCUACUGACAGUAGCCAAAGUAUGGAAAGAACCCAAAUGUCCAUCGAUGGAUGAAUGGAUAAAGAAGAUGUGGUAUGUAUACAUAAUGGAGUAAUACUCAGCAAUCAAAAAGAAUGAAAUCUUGCUAUUUGCAACUAUGUGGAUGUAAUUAGAAGGUAUGACGCUAAGCAAAAUUAGUCAGAGAAAAUUAGGUAUCAUAUGAUUUCACUCAUGUGAGGAAUUUAAGAUAUAAAACAGAUGAACAUAAGGGAAGGGAAGCAAAAAUAAUAUAAAAACUGGGAGGGGGACAAAACAUAACAGACACUUAAAUAUAGAGAACAGAGGGUUGCUGGAGGGGUUGUGGGAGGGGGGAUGGGCUAAGUGGGUAAGGGGAAUAAAAGAAUCUACUCCUGAAACCAUCGUUGCACUAUAUGUGAAUUAACUUGGAUGUAAAUUAAAAAAAAUUUAAAUAAAAAAAAAAAAGAAGAUGAACUUGGGAAAAAAAAGAAAGAGUGUAACAGUUCAGAGAUGCUCUUUUACAAUGAUUUAACUUUGUUGUUGUAAUCGUUUAGAAUGAUGCUUUGGCCAUAGUAGCCAAAAUCAAACACAAGAAAUGUGACUGACUCAGAGUAGUGGUUCUUAACUGGAUGUACAAUUCCUUAGAGGUCCUUUGAGAAGUGUGUUAGGACAUUUUGAUGUUACGGUAAGUGGAAAGACACUGCUAUCAUUUGGUAGGUAAUUGUCAGGGAUGCCAGAUGCUCUGGAUAUGUAUGGAAAAGUCCUGUAAAAUGACUGGUUGAAUGUCCCUGUCUGACUUUCUUUAAUGCCCUCUGAGUAUCCAUGUAUGUGAAAGACCUGUUUAUAAAUAACCAAGCCUGGUAAAAUCAAGUGUUUUUAUGAAUAGUUUUUGUCACAGAUUUUUCCAGUAUUGCAAGUGUUGUUUAAACUGAGGAAAGAUUGUACUUUGUUUUGCUAAGAAUUAUGCCAAGAGUGAUUCACUGUUUCUCAAAAUCACAUCACUUAUGGCAUUGUGUUUCUCUGGUUUUUGAGGCAACAAUACAACAAAAUGAAUUGAUUUGGAUUUUCAUCUGUAGCAUUUGAAGUGAUGAGAACUAUAGGAAGGAGCAUUUACUUAUUCUAUUGUGGUUGC
Molecule: long non-coding RNA, 5191 nt
Organism: Acinonyx jubatus (cheetah)
Lineage: Eukaryota; Metazoa; Chordata; Mammalia; Carnivora; Felidae
Exons: 7
Source: RefSeq, a predicted model, not a curated record